CUGAGAUCAGAGUGAUCAAAAGGGGAGAGUCAGCCGAUUGAAUCACUGAGGGUUUUUGGAAGCUUGCUUUUCCACAGAGGAUCCACCGGUGAUGUGAACACUGCACCAACCAAAAUGAGUGGUACAUGCACAAGACCCUGUUUCUGAGAUCAGCUUAUAGAUGUUCCCUAGCAUUAUGUCUGGAUCUGAUUGAUCAUAUUGUCCUGUUAGACCCCCCCUCCCCUCCUUUUCCUUUUCUAUUAUGUAAAUAUUUAGCCUUUUGUACACGUCUUUCGUCGAGAAAAUAUGAUCAUACUUCCUUUUCU
This is a long non-coding RNA of Cucurbita moschata (crookneck pumpkin), 305 nucleotides long. RefSeq lists it as uncharacterized. The transcript is spliced from 2 exons. The record is from RefSeq and is a predicted model, not a curated record. Lineage: Eukaryota; Viridiplantae; Streptophyta; Magnoliopsida; Cucurbitales; Cucurbitaceae.